GUUAGUACUGUAGUACUGCUGGGGUUAUACAGGUUAGUACUGCUGGGGUUAUACAGGUUAGUACUGUAGUACUGCUGGGGUUAUACAGGUUAGUACUGCUGGGGUUAUACAGGUUAGUACUGCUGGGGUUAUACAGGUUAGUACUGUUGUACUGCUGGGGUUAUACAGGUUAGUACUGCUGGGGUUAUACAGGUUAGUACUGCUGGGGUUAUACAGGUUAGUACUGCUGGGGUUAUACAGGUUAGUACUGCUGGGGUUAUACAGGUUAGUACUGUAGUACUGCUGGGGUUAUACAGGUUAGUACUGCUGGGGUUAUACAGGUUAGUACUGUAGUACUAAUCCACCAUUCUCUGGCUCCGCCCCCCUCCAUCUCUCUCUGGCUCCGCCCCCCCUCCACCUCUCUCUCUGGCUCCGCCCACCCUCCACCUCUCUAGAUGUGUGGUGUGAUGGUAUCAGCCAGUGAAGACUCCACCCCCUCAGUGAUCUACCACUGUGUGUUGCGUGGGU
Molecule: long non-coding RNA, 507 nt
Organism: Oncorhynchus tshawytscha (Chinook salmon)
Lineage: Eukaryota; Metazoa; Chordata; Actinopteri; Salmoniformes; Salmonidae
Source: Ensembl